This 584-nucleotide ribosomal RNA is filed under the name uncultured bacterium. RNAcentral describes it as "bacterial SSU rRNA". It matches the Rfam family "Bacterial small subunit ribosomal RNA", at positions 338 to 916 of the family's 1533-position model. The record is from RNAcentral.
CCUACGGGAGGCAGCAGUGGGGAAUUUUGGACAAUGGGCGCAAGCCUGAUCCAGCAAUGCCGCGUGAGUGAAGAAGGCCUUCGGGUUGUAAAGCUCUUUUGUCAGGGAAGAAACGGUUGGGGCUAAUAUCCUCAGCUAAUGACGGUACCUGAAGAAUAAGCACCGGCUAACUACGUGCCAGCAGCCGCGGUAAUACGUAGGGUGCAAGCGUUAAUCGGAAUUACUGGGCGUAAAGCGUGCGCAGGCGGUUUUGUAAGUCUGUCGUGAAAGCCCCGGGCUUAACCUGGGAAUUGCGAUGGAGACUGCAAGGCUUGAAUCUGGCAGAGGGGGGUAGAAUUCCACGUGUAGCAGUGAAAUGCGUAGAGAUGUGGAGGAACACCGGUGGCGAAGGCAGCCCCCUGGGUCAAGAUUGACGCUCAUGCACGAAAGCGUGGGGAGCAAACAGGAUUAGAUACCCUGGUAGUCCACGCCCUAAACGAUGUCUACUAGUUGUCGGGUCUUAAUUGACUUGGUAACGCAGCUAACGCGUGAAGUAGACCGCCUGGGGAGUACGGUCGCAAGAUUAAAACUUAAUGAAUUGACGG